AGAGUUUGAUCCUGGCUCAGAUUGAACGCUGGCGGCAUGCCUUACACAUGCAAGUCGAACGGUAGAGGGGCAACCCUUGAGAGUGGCGAACGGGUGAGUAAUGCAUCGGAACGUGCCCAGUCGUGGGGGAUAACGCAGCGAAAGCUGUGCUAAUACCGCAUGUGAUCUGUGGAUGAAAGCAGGGGACUUGGUAGCAAUACUGGGCCUUGUGCGAUUGGAGCGGCCGAUGUCAGAUUAGCUAGUUGGUAGGGUAAAAGCCUACCAAGGCGACGAUCUGUAGCUGGUCUGAGAGGACGACCAGCCACACUGGGACUGAGACACGGCCCAGACUCCUACGGGAGGCAGCAGUGGGGAAUUUUGGACAAUGGGCGCAAGCCUGAUCCAGCAAUGCCGCGUGCAGGACGAAGGCCUUCGGGUUGUAAACUGCUUUUGUACGGAGCGAAACGGUCCGGGUUAAUACCCUAGGCUAAUGACGGUACCGUAAGAAUAAGCACCGGCUAACUACGUGCCAGCCGCCGCGGUAAUUC
Molecule: ribosomal RNA, 527 nt
Filed under: uncultured beta proteobacterium
Lineage: Bacteria; Pseudomonadati; Pseudomonadota; Betaproteobacteria
Description: bacterial SSU rRNA
Rfam family: Bacterial small subunit ribosomal RNA
Source: RNAcentral